ACGAAAGUUUGACUAAGUUAUAUUAAUUAGGGUUGGUAAAUCUCGUGCCAGCCACCGCGGUCAUACGAUUAACCCAAGCUAACAGGAGUACGGCGUAAAACGUGUUAAAGCACCACACCAAAUAGGGUUAAAUUCUAACCAAGCUGUAAAAAGCCAUGAUUAAAAUAAAAAUAAAUGACGAAAGUGACCCUACAGUAGCCGACGCACUAUAGCUAAGACCCAAACUGGGAUUAGAUACCCCACUAUGCUUAGCCCUAAACACAGAUAAUUACAUAAACAAAAUUAUUCGCCAGAGUACUACUAGCAACAGCUUAAAACUCAAAGGACU
Molecule: ribosomal RNA, 328 nt
Filed under: Bos indicus (zebu cattle)
Lineage: Eukaryota; Metazoa; Chordata; Mammalia; Artiodactyla; Bovidae
Description: partial 12S ribosomal RNA
Rfam family: Bacterial small subunit ribosomal RNA
Source: RNAcentral